GUCCACGCCGUAAACGAUGAUAACUAGCUGUCCGGGCACUUGGUGUCUGGGUGGCGCAGCUAACGCAUUAAGUUAUCCGCCUUGGGAGUACGGUCGCAAGAUUAAAACUCAAAGGAAUUGACGGGGGCCUGCACAAGCGGUGGAGCAUGUGGUUUAAUUCGAAGCAACGCGCAGAACCUUACCAGCCUUUGACAUCCCGCGCUACCUGGAGAGAUUCAGGGUUCCCUUCGGGGACGCGGUGACAGGUGCUGCAUGGCUGUCGU
This 263-nucleotide ribosomal RNA is filed under the name uncultured bacterium. RNAcentral describes it as "partial 16S ribosomal RNA". It matches the Rfam family "Bacterial small subunit ribosomal RNA", at positions 793 to 1055 of the family's 1533-position model. The record is from RNAcentral.